AAAGUCCCCUUCGGGGGACUAGUAGAGUGGCGCUCCGGGUGAGUAACACGUAGGUAAUCUACCUUCGGGUGGGGAAUAACGCAGGGAAACUUGCGCUAAUACCGCAUAAUGCAGCGGCACCACAUGGUGACAGUUGUUAAAGCGGGGGAUUUUCGAACCUCGCGCCUGAAGAGGAGCCUGCGGCAGAUUAGCUAGUUGGUAAGGUAAUGGCUUACCAAGGCGACGAUCUGUAACCGGCCUGAGAGGGCGGUCGGUCACACUGACACUGACAUACGGGUCAGACUCCUACGGGAGGCAGCAGUCGGGAAUUUUGGGCAAUGGGCGAAAGCCUGACCCAGCAACGCCGCGUGAAGGAUGAAAUCCCUCGGGAUGUAAACUUCGCAAGAAUGGGAAGAAUGAGUAGGGGCUAAUACUCCCUAUGAUGACGGUACCAUUUGUAAGCUCCGGCUAACUCCGUGCCAGCAGCCGCGGUAAUACGGGGGGAGCAAGCGUUGUUCGGAUUUACUGGGCGUAAAGGGCGCGUAGGCGGCCAGCGCAAGUCAGUUGUGAAAUCUCCGGGCUUAACUCGGAACGGUCAACUGAUACUGCGCGGCUAGAGUGCGGAAGGGGCAACUGGAAUUCUCGGUGUAGCGGUGAAAUGCGUAGAUAUCGAGAGGAACACCUGCGGCGAAGGCGGGUUGCUGGGCCGACACUGACGCUGAUGCGCGAAAGCCAGGGGAGCGAACGGGAUUAGAUACCCCGGUAGUCCUGGCCUUAAACGAUGGAUGCUUGGUGUCUGGAGUUUUAUAGUCUCCGGGUGCCGCAGCUAACGCGUUAAGCAUCCCGCCUGGGGAGUACGGUCGCAAGACUGAAACUC
RNAcentral lists this ribosomal RNA (856 nucleotides) under uncultured Pseudomonadota bacterium. RNAcentral describes it as "bacterial SSU rRNA". It matches the Rfam family "Bacterial small subunit ribosomal RNA", at positions 70 to 902 of the family's 1533-position model. Lineage: Bacteria; Pseudomonadati; Pseudomonadota. The record is from RNAcentral.